This 406-nucleotide ribosomal RNA is filed under the name uncultured bacterium. RNAcentral describes it as "partial 16S ribosomal RNA". It matches the Rfam family "Bacterial small subunit ribosomal RNA", at positions 29 to 526 of the family's 1533-position model. The record is from RNAcentral.
AUUGAACGCUGGCGGCAGGCCUAACACAUGCAAGUCGAACGAGUGGCGGACGGGUGAGUAAUGUCUGGGAAACUGCCUGAUGGAGGGGGAUAACUACUGGAAACGGUAGCUAAUACCGCAUACCAUCGGAUGUGCCCAGAUGGGAUUAGCUAGUAGGUGGGGUAAAGGCUCACCUAGGCGACGAUCCCUAUCUGGUCUGAGAGGAUGACCGGCAAAACUGGAAGGGAGACACGGUCAAGACUCCUACGGGGGGCAGCAGGGGGGAAUAUUGCAAAAUGGGCGCAAGCCUGAUGCAGCAAUGCCGCGUGGAUGAAGAAGGCCUUCGGGUUGUAAAGUACUUUCAGCGGGGAGGCGUUACCCGCAGAAGAAGCACCGGCUAACUCCGUGCCAGCAGCCGCGGUAAUAC